AUCGAACUUCGGGGCGGGGCGAAAUUCCCCACCGGCGGUGACUUUGAAAGUGAUGAGCUUUCAAACAGCCCGCGAGCGCUUGAAACCCUAUUAAUGGGCUUUUAAGGUCAGCAGAUCUGGUGUGAUUCCAGAGCCGACGGUUACAGUCCGGAUGAUAGAAGAUCGAC
RNAcentral lists this non-coding RNA (167 nucleotides) under Marinomonas posidonica. RNAcentral's name for it is "FMN sequence". It matches the Rfam family "FMN riboswitch aptamer (RFN element)". Rfam says of the family: The RFN element is a highly conserved domain that is found frequently in the 5'-untranslated regions of prokaryotic mRNAs that encode for flavin mononucleotide (FMN) biosynthesis and transport proteins. This element is a metabolite-dependent riboswitch that directly binds FMN in the absence of proteins. Lineage: Bacteria; Pseudomonadati; Pseudomonadota; Gammaproteobacteria; Oceanospirillales; Oceanospirillaceae. The record is from RNAcentral.